GGUGGAGGGGGUUCCCCCGCCUGCAGGUAAACAAACAAACUAAUCAAUAAAUCAAUAAACAAAAGGUGGAGGGGGUUCCCCCGUCAGUAGGUAAACAAACAAACUAAUCAAUAAAUCAAUAAACAAAAGGUGGAGGGGGUUCCCCCGUCAGUAGGUAAACAAAUAAACUAAUCAAUAAACAAAGGUGGAGGGGGUUCCCCC
Molecule: non-coding RNA, 201 nt
Organism: Gasterosteus aculeatus aculeatus (three-spined stickleback)
Lineage: Eukaryota; Metazoa; Chordata; Actinopteri; Perciformes; Gasterosteidae
Source: RefSeq, a predicted model, not a curated record